This 2763-nucleotide unclassified non-coding RNA is filed under the name Hevea brasiliensis (rubber tree). The record is from RNAcentral. Lineage: Eukaryota; Viridiplantae; Streptophyta; Magnoliopsida; Malpighiales; Euphorbiaceae.
AAUCGGUCAUUUUCAUUUCUUUUCCAUUUCCAAGACCAACCAAACAUGUCCUAAAAAUAAGCCUCAUUGCACUAAUUGCAGCAGUACUUGUAUUUUUGCCACCCUAGACAUCUACACUUACACACAGAUCAUUCAGAUGAAGGAAAAUCUUAUAAACCAGAACAAUUUAUACUAUACAAUCUUCAAUAAUCACAUCCUCAUAAAACUUGAAAGCAAAGAUGAAACUGAUUUACUAUAAGCUUUUCAUACUAUUAGAUGAUGCAGUAUUCAAUACAAAACCCGUAUGUUUUGGUUGACCCAGUUCAUUUAAAAAUUUCUUUUAUAUAUUUUAUUUAUUCCUUCAUGUUCAUUUUCAUAGCAAUGAAAAUGUCAAGGCUGCCCAAGAAGAGAAGGCCUGUAGAAAGCAUGGCUUUGAGCAAUCUCAAUGCGUUCCCUGGGAUCGUUCAGAGUUUCAUCCCUUAGUGCUUGCAAAAUAGCUUGUGAUGAAUUUUCCCUUGAUAUAAGUAUUUUGUACAGUGUUUUUAAGAUGGGGCAGAGCUCAACAGGUGCAACAGGCUUCUUUCCAUCCGGAUGCAGUACACUCAAGCUUGGCUGACUCAGGAUUUCAUAGAAAGCUUUAACUGCAGAAACACCCUGAAUCAUUCCUUUUCCACUAAUGCUAUCACCCAUAUCCCUGUUCAAUUCCCCUUUGGCUAACAUUUGGCCGUACCAUGCAUUGCGACCUUUUAACAAGGUUACAUAAGUGUCUGAUAGCAAAGGCCCUGCAAGCUUCUCAGGUUCUUCAGCCAGUAAAUGAGUAAUAAAUAUCAUCUCUGAUGUACAAUGUGCAAAAUAUACUGACUUGCUGGUAGCACUCUCAUUAGUAAGGGCUGCUACCAUUCCGGCUCCAAUGGCAUAGACAUUCUUCAGACCACCCAUGACUUCAUGAGUGAUAAGGUCACUGUUGUCCCAUACAAUGAAAUGCGGUUGCCUUAGAAACUUAGCAAGAGGCUUUCUCCACUUUUCAGCUCCGCAUAUUCGAGCAUUAGCAUAUUCCUUGUUAUAUAUUUCUGAAGCAAUAUUUGGUCCACCAAGAUAAAGUAUAUUCUCCAUACUCGCCCCAGUCACUCUAUUAAUCAUCUGCGUGGGAGUAAUUAUACGAGGAACAGGUUGCAAAGCAGCUUCUAUGCCCUUUGCUAAAGAGAUAAUGAUAGGCAUGGUAAUUCUCUCCUUCCAAUAAUGACUAAUCUCUUCAAACACCUCCAAUGUUUCUGUUGAAGGCACACCAUUCACCACAAUGUCUGCAUCCCAAACAGCCUCUUGCAGAUUAGUCACAACCUUCAAAGGACAGAGUGGAGUAUCAAUCAUGUUCAAGCAAAAUCCAUCUUUCAAAAUCUCAUCUGCAUAAAGAGUUCGGUCACCUAGCCUUGCCUCGACGUAUUUCAAAUAAGCACAUCUCCGGAUCAACCUCCUCAAUACAUCCUCUCUUGAAUUGAUCACUUCAAAGAGAUGUUCUGCUGUGGCUCUAUCAACAGCUCUUCCAGGCCUUCUCCAAAUCCUGAUUUGGACCUUCUGUCGAAACUGACCAUAACUAUCUUGCAACAAAGCAGCAAAAACACUUCCCCAUGCACCUGCUCCAACACCAACGAUCCUUAGAGGAUCACCAUCAGCCUUUCCAAGAAGGCUUCGAAGCUCAUCAAGCUUCUCUUCCAGACCAUUACCAUUGUGAAUAGACCAUCCAUUUUGAUGAACAUUCAUUGUCUCGAUACUUCCAACCAUCUUGUUCCAGCAAAAACAACACCAACAAAUCAACCAAAAUCGACAGUAGGAAAUCAAACCGGAAUACUUCAAUCCUAACAACUGAGUACUUAGUUGGAUUUUAUUCAAUUUCAGGAUUCCUUAGUACAAACCAACAUUAAAAUUUCCUCAACUAAAUAUAGCAAAUAAUAAAAGGGACCCAACUCUGAAUUUUAUACUAAUUUUGCUGACACAAUCCCAAAUUCCUCAAAUCUUCCCCUAGAAACAACGGAUUUCCGCCUCCCAAGUUGCCAAUAUGCAUUAAAGGAGUCAAAUCUUUAUUGGUAGAUCUUACUACCAACACCAAAACUAAUAUUUCAGCUAUUUACUAAUUUUCAAACCAACCGACCAAUAUACUUCUUUUAGUACCUCUCAAAUCGGGGUAAAGGCAACACAAUAAUACAAUACUAAAGAAUGAUACAACACCAAUAUUAUCUUCUUAAAUAAGAGUUCCUAAGCAAAUGGCAAAUGGGAAAAGUUCAAAUAUUCAAAUCCUGUAGCUUUGUUUUCUCCGCCUGAGUUUGUUCAUCUACCCAACUAAAAACAUCUAAGACAACAAGAGAAGCAAAUAAUAUAUGAAUAGGAAAGGGAGUAAAGGAAAAAGAACCAAGUCAAAAUAAUACACCGACCUUUCAUGUGUCGUUAACUACAAAGCUCCUUUGCAUUCAAUCCUCUGAGUCAUGACCCACAAAAGAAUUUUCAAGAUUUCAACAUGCAUUAUUGGAGGGAAAUCAAUAAAGCAUGAAACCCAGCAGAAAGAAACAGAGACUGAGGGUGAAACUUAACAUCAAAAGAGCGUGCCAGGUGAGAAAGAGAAGCAAGAAAAUGGUGGUGAUCGAUGGCGGAGUGAGAGAGGAAGGGCAUUGAUGGGUAAAGUUGAGUUGGAUAUGUAGAGAUUGGAAGAGCAUUAAAGAUUUGGGAUGGUGCCCAACUCCCCCAACGGUCAUUAACAUUGAAUGACUUUCUCCUGCCACCCUUCCAUUUCCG